UACGUAGGGGGCAAGCGUUGUUCGGAAUUACUGGGCGUAAAGGGCUCGUAGGCGGCCAACUAAGUCAGACGUGAAAUCCCUCGGCUUAACCGGGGAACUGCGUCUGAUACUGGAUGGCUUGAGUUUGGGAGAGGGAUGCGGAAUUCCAGGUGUAGCGGUGAAAUGCGUAGAUAUCUGGAGGAACACCGGUGGCGAAGGCGGCAUCCUGGACCAACACUGACGCUGAUGAGCGAAAGCCAGGGGAGCAAACGGG
RNAcentral lists this ribosomal RNA (253 nucleotides) under uncultured bacterium. RNAcentral's name for it is "partial 16S ribosomal RNA". It matches the Rfam family "Bacterial small subunit ribosomal RNA", at positions 524 to 776 of the family's 1533-position model. The record is from RNAcentral.